AGGCCUAACACAUGCAAGUCGAGCGGUAACACAAGGGAGCUUGCUCCUGAGGUGACGAGCGGCGGACGGGUGAGUAAUGCCUAGGUAUCUGCCCAGUCGAGGGGGAUAACAGUUGGAAACGACUGCUAAUACCGCAUACGCCCUACGGGGGAAAGGAGGGGACCUUCGGGCCUUUCGCGAUUGGAUGAACCUAGGUGGGAUUAGCUAGUAGGUGGGGUAAUGGCUCACCUAGGCGACGAUCCCUAGCUGGUCUGAGAGGAUGAUCAGCCACACUGGAACUGAGACACGGUCCAGACUCCUACGGGAGGCAGCAGUGGGGAAUAUUGCACAAUGGGCGAAAGCCUGAUGCAGCCAUGCCGCGUGUAUGAAGAAGGCCUUCGGGUUGUAAAGUACUUUCAGCGAGGAGGAAAGCUCAAUUGUUAAUAGCGAUUGGGUGUGACGUUACUCGCAGAA
Molecule: ribosomal RNA, 453 nt
Filed under: Shewanella sp. ANG-C37
Lineage: Bacteria; Pseudomonadati; Pseudomonadota; Gammaproteobacteria; Alteromonadales; Shewanellaceae
Description: bacterial SSU rRNA
Rfam family: Bacterial small subunit ribosomal RNA
Source: RNAcentral